CCUCUGGUUUGCCAACCCGGGGGGCAGCAACAGCAUGCCUGGCCAGAACCGCAGCUCGGUCCAGCGGACCCACUCGCUGCCCGUCCACACCUCCCCUCAGGCCAUCCUCAUGUUCCCGCAGGAUUGCCAGCUGCCUGGAACGGAUCUGGAGAUCAACCCCACCUUGGAGUCCCUGUGCCUGAGCAUGACGGAGCACGCGCUGGGCGAUGGCACGGACAAGACCUCAACCAUCUGAGCAAGCUGGAUCUGCGGGCAUCAUCCUGAGAAGCUUUAGGAUGGCUGUUUAUUUUUUCUCCUCCCAAUUCCUUUCCGUUUUUUUUGUUUUGUUUCAAGCCCCUCCCCCAGGGGUAUGUCACUACGGGGGUAGGUGAAUAAUUUUUUUGUUUUCCUCCGACCCCCUUCCUCCUCCUCCCCCCCCCCCCCCCC
Molecule: non-coding RNA, 426 nt
Organism: Notechis scutatus (mainland tiger snake)
Lineage: Eukaryota; Metazoa; Chordata; Lepidosauria; Squamata; Elapidae
Source: RefSeq, a predicted model, not a curated record